UUGCAAAAGCUCCGGCGUAUUUUCAUUUACAUUAUUUCUAGCGAGAAACACAUGCAAAUAGCAGAAGUAUCGGACAAGCUGGCUCAGUCGUCCAGAAGUCCUUUUCGAUCACGCAAGGUAUGAUGACUACGUCUACAGCAACAAUGACUCCACCAUGUCACACCAACAAAGAGUCGCUAUUGAAAAUGCGCCCCUUACCCCAGAGGCCCCACUCCCCCACUUUGACUCCUGACAGGAUCACGCGCUGAGCGCGUUACCACGGGCCCCGUACCCGGGAUCGAUGGAUAGGGAGUCUCCAAUGACCCUGACAGAGCUUUACGCCGUAGCAGUACGCCUCAGCACCAGCCAUCCAAGCCCGCAACCACCAAACAAAAAAUAACCCCUUCCCCCAAUGCCUUCCGCAACACUAAAACCCGUUUCGUCUUUCCCCCGACCUUCUCCCACGCACCCCCUUAAAAGGGCAAGCGAGCACCCACGUGGCCCUUAGCUCCCCAAUUCGAACGACGGGGCCUUUAUACCCGUGUCCAGCUUAAACUCCAGUUUCUUGUCAUGUGAUAGCGACAGGCACUGCUUGGAGCGUCUGGCAGGGAUUUCAGUGCCGCAUGCCUUGAACUUCUUAGCAUGACGGCGAUUAGUAGUGCAAUAUGGCCCUAUGUCAUCGAAGUAAUCGUUGGUAACACCUGGUGUAGGACCACGUUUGGUUUUCUUUGGUUCGGGCCCAUCAUCCAUCGUGCCGCCUGACACGAAGACCAACUGUUUACCUGAGCCCGUCGAUAUCACUGCACUACUAAGGCGAUUAAUUAGAAACGGAGAGAGCAGUGCGCGCUGUUUGGGGUAAGAACAAGCGGUUUGGGGGCUGUAUGACCACACACACAAUAUACGCCGACUUUACGCCAUUAAGACGCCACGCGAAAAAUCGGCCGCCUCGCCGGCGUAUUUUGACGUAUUAGGGCGUAAUUGUGCUUGGCGUAUUAUUCUGUAAUACGGUCUCAACCCCGAUGAAGCGCGCCACGAUGUACGGCGAUUGAACGGC
RNAcentral lists this long non-coding RNA (1033 nucleotides) under Volvox carteri. RNAcentral describes it as "long non-coding RNA (VCAR_LNC002961)". Lineage: Eukaryota; Viridiplantae; Chlorophyta; Chlorophyceae; Chlamydomonadales; Volvocaceae. The record is from RNAcentral.